Molecule: non-coding RNA, 253 nt
Organism: Pelobates cultripes (western spadefoot toad)
Lineage: Eukaryota; Metazoa; Chordata; Amphibia; Anura; Pelobatidae
Source: the annotation of a GenBank genome assembly
UUUAGUACUAUUGUUAUCAGUUUAAUCACUGUUACGCCCCCUAUCCGUUGAUGUGGAGCAAGACGCAGCAGCAGAAGAGGACCAAGCCGAGGAGGUUAUGGAAGAGGAUGGAGUAGGAGGAGUAGAGGAGGUGGCAGCGUACAGGCAGAGUACACGCUGUAGGGCUGACACACCUGCUUGAAGAUAACUAACUGCUAUUCAAUCUAUAACAGUGAAAAAUAAUUUUUGUUUUUAAAUCCAAGCUAUUGUGACA